ACAGCAGCAGCCGCGGUAACACGAAGGGUGCAAGCGUUAAUCGGAAUUACUGGGCGUAAAGCGUGCGUAGGCGGUGAGUUAAGUCUGCUGUGAAAUCCCCGGGCUCAACCUGGGAAUGGCAGUGGAUACUGGCUCGCUAGAGUGUGUCAGAGGAUGGUGGAAUUCCCGGUGUAGCGGUGAAAUGCGUAGAGAUCGGGAGGAACAUCAGUGGCGAAGGCGGCCAUCUGGGACAACACUGACGCUGAGGCACGAAAGCGUGGGGAGCAAACAGGAUUAGAUACCCCCGUAGUCCCUGUCUCUUAUAU
This 305-nucleotide ribosomal RNA is filed under the name uncultured bacterium. RNAcentral's name for it is "partial 16S ribosomal RNA". It matches the Rfam family "Bacterial small subunit ribosomal RNA", at positions 505 to 809 of the family's 1533-position model. The record is from RNAcentral.